GUCCCUGUAGCGCAAUGGAUAGUGCGUUGAACUUCUAAUCCAAGUAUCGUGGGUUCGAAUCCCACUUGAGAUA
Molecule: non-coding RNA, 73 nt
Organism: Trichonephila clavata
Lineage: Eukaryota; Metazoa; Arthropoda; Arachnida; Araneae; Nephilidae
Source: the annotation of a GenBank genome assembly